UACGUAGGUGGCGAGCGUUGUCCGGAUUUACUGGGCGUAAAGGGCGCGUAGGCGGCCACCGCAAGUCGGUUGUGAAAUCUCUGGGCUUAACCCAGAAAGGUCAACCGAUACUGCGGGGCUAGAGUGCAGAAGGGGCAACUGGAAUUCUCGGUGUAGCGGUGAAAUGCGUAGAUAUCGAGAGGAACACCUGCGGCGAAGGCGGGUUGCUGGGCUGACACUGACGCUGAAGCGCGAAAGCUAGGGGAGCGAACGGG
This 254-nucleotide ribosomal RNA is filed under the name uncultured bacterium. RNAcentral's name for it is "partial 16S ribosomal RNA". It matches the Rfam family "Bacterial small subunit ribosomal RNA", at positions 524 to 776 of the family's 1533-position model. The record is from RNAcentral.